Molecule: transfer RNA, 72 nt
Filed under: Pristis pristis (common sawfish)
Lineage: Eukaryota; Metazoa; Chordata; Chondrichthyes; Rhinopristiformes; Pristidae
Description: tRNA-Arg
Rfam family: tRNA
About the family: Transfer RNA (tRNA) molecules are approximately 80 nucleotides in length. Their secondary structure includes four short double-helical elements and three loops (D, anti-codon, and T loops).
Source: RNAcentral
UGGUAUUUAGUCUAACAACCAAGACUAUUAAUUUCGGCUUAAUAAAUCAUGGUGUAAAUCCAUGAAUACCUU